UGAAGAUGGUCCUGAUGGGCAGGAGA
RNAcentral lists this non-coding RNA (26 nucleotides) under Homo sapiens (human). The record is from RNAcentral. Lineage: Eukaryota; Metazoa; Chordata; Mammalia; Primates; Hominidae.